This is a long non-coding RNA of Pseudopipra pipra, 940 nucleotides long. RefSeq lists it as uncharacterized. The record is from RefSeq and is a predicted model, not a curated record. Lineage: Eukaryota; Metazoa; Chordata; Aves; Passeriformes; Pipridae. The transcript has 4 exons.
CGUCCCGAGUCUGUGGAGGAACCUCGUACCGGGAUGCUGCGGGAGCGAUCGGCGCGUCGGAAGACCGAGGGUGGCGAUGGAGCUCGGCAGGAGGACCGGGACAAGGAUCGGGGCCAGGACCGGGACCGCGACCGGAGGAGCGAGGCGGCCCCAGGAGCUGGCACUGACCGUGCCGCGGGUCGGGCACAGGCUGCUCCCAGCUCUGCCUGCGGAACUUCGGCAAUUACCGACAGCAGUUCUUUGCCCUGCCAUCCAGAAGGUGCGGCUCAUCUGACACCAGCCAGACGGGGAAGGCCCUGCCUGGGAGGGAAACGGCUACAGGGGAGGAAACCAAGAAAUGCUCCAACCGGAUGGUGCUGCGCGAGUCAAAAGAGGGGCAAGACCGCGGGCAAAUACAGUCAGGAAAUGAGCUUUUAUUCAAUCUCUGCAGGAGCCCUUCGCAGCCACGGGCCGGAGGGAGCGCGGCCGGCUGGGCUGUGCCCGGCUGGGGACGGGCACCAAUUCAUCGCUGCCCUGCUCAGGGAGGUUUUCCGGCCCCGUCCGGGCUUCACCCAACGGCUGCAAAGGUGCUCGUGCGGCAUCCGAGCUCAUUUCCAGGGAUAAAGGAGCCAAACGAGUCCGGAGGGAUCCCUCGCUCCGAGGCAAAGGCGUUUGGUCGAGUGUCGCCGCCUGGUCCCGCCUGCGGGGGAGCGUCUCCUCCAGUUUCCCAGGGAGAAGAACAGGAACUCACAGCCACCAAGGCCUGACAGUUCCCUGCAGCCAGAGCUCAGCACACAGCCAGAGAGGCAAUUCCAGCAUCUAAAAGAAAAAAAAGAAGAAAAAAGUGAUUUAUUUUGUUUUCAAGUUCCUUUAAGUUGUUCCAAGCAAAGCAAGCCUUGCUCUGGUUUCAGUUGGGUGAACAGGGAGCGCUGGGCACAGGGCACGUCAUUAAUGCCCAGGG